AGAGGUUGAUCAUGGCUCCGGAUGGACGGUGGCGGCUUGCUUAACACAUACAAGUAAAAUGAACCUUCGAGUUAAUGGCGGACGGGUGAGUAAUGCGUGAGAAUCUCCCCUCAGGAGGGGGAUAACGGUUGGAAACGACCGCUAAUACCCCAUAUGCGCAUGAAGUGAAAUGAAUUUCGCCUGAGGAUGAGCUCGAGUUUGAUUAGCUUGUUGGUGAGGUAAAGGCUCACCAAGGCUUCGAUCAGUAGCUGGUCUGAGAGGAUGAUCAGCCCCACUGGGAGUGAGUCACGACCCGGACUCCUAUGGGAGGCAACAGUGGGGAAUUUUCCGCAAUGGGCGAAAGCCUGACGGAGCAAAGCCGCGGGAGGGAUGAAGGCCUCUGGGCUGUAAACCUCUUUUCUCAAGGAAGAAGAAAAGACGGUACUUGAGGAAUAAGCCACGGCUAAUUCCGUGCCAGCCGCCGCGGU
RNAcentral lists this ribosomal RNA (467 nucleotides) under uncultured bacterium. RNAcentral describes it as "bacterial SSU rRNA". It matches the Rfam family "Bacterial small subunit ribosomal RNA", at positions 8 to 521 of the family's 1533-position model. The record is from RNAcentral.